GGGUUGUUUUCCAGUUCAAGAGUUCAAAGAAAUCAAAUAAUGGUACAGAUGUUAAUGCGGGUCAGAUACCUCAGUUAUUAUACAGACUUCCAACCAGUGAUGGCAGUGCUUCAAAAGGCAAACAGCAAACCAGUGAACCUGUACACAUUUUAAAGAGGUCUUUUGCAAGAACUGUCUCAGUGGUAAGCCAUUCAUUGUUGAGUAUUCUUCACUGGAGCUGGACCACCUUAGUCUUAGGAGUUGAAGAACUUAGAGGAUUAAAAGGAUUCCAGUUCACAGCUACACUCCUAGAUUUAGAGAGACUGCGCUUUGUGGGUACCUGUUGUCUGAGGUUAUUGCGUGUCUAUACCUGUGAAAUUUACCCAGUGUCAGCUACAGGAAAAGCAGUUGUAGAAGAAACUAGCAAAUUAGCAGAGUGUAUUGGAAAAACCAGAACUUUGUUAAGAAAAAUUUUAUCAGAAGGAGUUGAUCACUGCAUGGUGAAAUUGGAUAAUGAUCCUCAAGGAUAUCUCAGUCAACCCUUGAGUCUUCUAGAAGCUGUCCUUCAGGAAUGUCAUAAUACUUUCACUGCCUGCUUUCAUUCUUUCUACCCAACUCCUGCCUUACAGUGGGCUUGCCUUUGUGAUCUGCUGAAUUGUUUGGAUCAGGAUAUCCAAGAAGCAAACUUCAAGACAUCAAGUAGCCGACUCCUUGCAGCUGUUAUGUCAGCUCUGUGUCACACGUCUGUUAAGCUGACUUCCAUCUUCCCGAUUGCGUAUGAUGGAGAAGUAUUACUACGAUCAAUUGUUAAACAAGUUAGUACAGAGAACGACUCAACACUAGUUCAUCGUUUUCCCCUUUUG
RNAcentral lists this long non-coding RNA (842 nucleotides) under Homo sapiens (human). RNAcentral's name for it is "HSALNT0203937". Lineage: Eukaryota; Metazoa; Chordata; Mammalia; Primates; Hominidae. The record is from RNAcentral.